GCCCGGGUGGCGGAAUCGGUAGACGCACGGGACUUAAAAUCCCGGGCCGUAAGGCGUGCGGGUUCGAGUCCCGCCCCGGGCA
RNAcentral lists this transfer RNA (82 nucleotides) under Thermoanaerobaculum aquaticum. RNAcentral's name for it is "tRNA-Leu". It matches the Rfam family "tRNA". From Rfam's summary of the family: Transfer RNA (tRNA) molecules are approximately 80 nucleotides in length. Their secondary structure includes four short double-helical elements and three loops (D, anti-codon, and T loops). Further hydrogen bonds mediate the characteristic L-shaped molecular structure. tRNAs have two regions of fundamental functional importance: the anti-codon, which is responsible for specific mRNA codon recognition, and the 3' end, to which the tRNAs corresponding amino acid is attached (by aminoacyl-tRNA synthetases). tRNAs cope with the degeneracy of the genetic code in two manners: having more than one tRNA (with a specific anti-codon) for a particular amino acid; and 'wobble' base-pairing, i.e. permitting non-standard base-pairing at the 3rd anti-codon position. The record is from RNAcentral. RNAcentral also lists the same sequence under 6 other names. Lineage: Bacteria; Pseudomonadati; Acidobacteriota; Thermoanaerobaculia; Thermoanaerobaculales; Thermoanaerobaculaceae.